CAACGUGACUUCGAUUUGAAAGGACAGGAAUACAACAGGCCAAUAUGAACACAAAGGUUCUAGUAUUUCUGGUUGUUGUGGGACUUCUGACUCUUCAAGUCGCAAACGUUGAAGGCAUCUGCUACACGUACGUGUGCCGCCGACGCUGCGUGUAUUCGGCGCCUCGCUACGAGGAGUACGCCUUCCGGUACCUGUGGACGCGCGCAUGCGGACAGGUCGCCGUCGAGCAGUACGGAAUCAAGGCCUGUUGUGUCACUUGGGGGCGAUACUAGGACCGCGUCCUUGGUGGUUCUUGACGUUCCCUGCGUGUGCGCGGGGACCGGCCAUUCUGAACACCGACGGCGCUUGGUGAUGUCUUGGAGAAAAUGAUUAUUUUUAUUUAUGAAGUAUGCAAGUAUGCGAGAGAAGUCUACAAUCCUCAUUAAUUUAUGUCACAUGUGGCUGUUUCCAGAAAUAAACUGCUACCCAAGCUUUUA
This is a long non-coding RNA of Dreissena polymorpha, 476 nucleotides long. RefSeq lists it as uncharacterized. The record is from RefSeq and is a predicted model, not a curated record. The transcript is spliced from 3 exons. Lineage: Eukaryota; Metazoa; Mollusca; Bivalvia; Myida; Dreissenidae.